This 465-nucleotide ribosomal RNA is filed under the name uncultured bacterium. RNAcentral's name for it is "partial 16S ribosomal RNA". It matches the Rfam family "Bacterial small subunit ribosomal RNA", at positions 28 to 507 of the family's 1533-position model. The record is from RNAcentral.
GACGAACGCUGGCGGCGUGCUUAACACAUGCAAGUCGAACGGAAAGGCCCCUUUGGGGGUACUCGAGUGGCGAACGGGUGAGUAACACGUGAGUAACCUGCCCUUGACUUCGGGAUAACUUCAGGAAACUGGGGCUAAUACCGGAUAGGAAUCCUUGCUGCAUGGUGGGGGUUGGAAAGCUUCGGCGGUUUUGGAUGGACUCGCGGCUUAUCAGCUUGUUGGUGGGGUAGUGGCUUACCAAGGCUUUGACGGGUAGCCGGCCUGAGAGGGCGACCGGCCACAUUGGGACUGAGAUACGGCCCAGACUCCUACGGGAGGCAGCAGUGCGGAAUAUUGCACAAUGGGCGGAAGCCUGAUGCAGCAACGCCGCGUGCGGGAUGACGGCCUUCGGGUUGUAAACCGCUUUCAGCAGGGGCGAAGCUUGUGGUGACGGUACCUGCAGAAGAAGCACCGGCUAACUACGUG